RNAcentral lists this transfer RNA (71 nucleotides) under Deferribacteraceae bacterium. Its description in RNAcentral is "tRNA-Cys". It matches the Rfam family "tRNA". From Rfam's summary of the family: Transfer RNA (tRNA) molecules are approximately 80 nucleotides in length. RNAcentral also lists the same sequence under 1 other name. Lineage: Bacteria; Pseudomonadati; Deferribacterota; Deferribacteres; Deferribacterales; Deferribacteraceae. The record is from RNAcentral.
GGCGACGUGGCCGAGUGGUUAGGCAGCGGCCUGCAAAGCCGUGUACCCCGGUUCGAUUCCGGGCGUCGCCU